Molecule: unclassified non-coding RNA, 329 nt
Filed under: soil metagenome
Description: partial contains 5.8S ribosomal RNA, internal transcribed spacer 2, and large subunit ribosomal RNA
Rfam family: 5.8S ribosomal RNA (bases 1-120)
Source: RNAcentral
GAUGAAGAACGCAGCGAAAUGCGAUAAGUAAUGUGAAUUGCAGAAUUCAGUGAAUCAUCGAAUCUUUGAACGCACAUUGCGCCCUCUGGUAUUCCGGGGGGCAUGCCUGCUCGAGCGUCAUUAUAACCACUCAAGCUCUCGCUUGGUAUUGGAGUUCGCGAUCUCGCGGCUCCUAAAAUCAGUGGCGGUGCCUGUCGGCUCUACGCGUAGUAAUACUCCUCGCGAUUGAGUCCGGUAGGUUUACUUGCCAGCAACCCCCAAUUUUUACAGGUUGACCUCGGAUCAGGUAGGGAUACCCGCUGAACUUAAGCAUAUCAAUAAGCGGAGGA